GACGAACGCUGGCGGCGUGCCUAAUACAUGCAAGUUGAGCGAUGAAGAUUGGUGCUUGCACCAAUUUGAAGAGCAGCGAACGGGUGAGUAACGCGUGGGGAAUCUGCCUUUGAGCGGGGGACAACAUUUGGAAACGAAUGCUAAUACCGCAUAACAACUUUAAACAUAAGUUUUAAGUUUGAAAGAUGCAAUUGCAUCACUCAAAGAUGAUCCCGCGUUGUAUUAGCUAGUUGGUGAGGUAAAGGCUCACCAAGGCGAUGAUACAUAGCCGACCUGAGAGGGUGAUCGGCCACAUUGGGACUGAGACACGGCCCAAACUCCUACGGGAGGCAGCAGUAGGGAAUCUUCGGGAAUGGACGAAAGGCUGACCGAGCAACGCCGCGUGAGUGAAGAAGGUUUUCGGAUCGGAAAACUCUGUUGGUAGAGAAGAACGUUGGUGGGAGUGGAAAGCUCAUCAAGUGACGGUAACUACCCAGAAAGGGACGGCUAACUACGUG
RNAcentral lists this ribosomal RNA (497 nucleotides) under uncultured bacterium. RNAcentral's name for it is "partial 16S ribosomal RNA". It matches the Rfam family "Bacterial small subunit ribosomal RNA", at positions 28 to 507 of the family's 1533-position model. The record is from RNAcentral.